This 329-nucleotide unclassified non-coding RNA is filed under the name soil metagenome. Its description in RNAcentral is "partial contains 5.8S ribosomal RNA, internal transcribed spacer 2, and large subunit ribosomal RNA". The stretch from base 1 to 120 matches the Rfam family "5.8S ribosomal RNA", at positions 35 to 154 of the family's 154-position model. The record is from RNAcentral.
GAUGAAGAACGUAGCGAAAUGCGAUAAGUAAUGUGAAUUGCAGAAUUCAGUGAAUCAUCGAAUCUUUGAACGCACAUUGCGCCCUCUGGUAUUCCGGGGGGCAUGCCUGUUCGAGCGUCAUUAUAACCACUCAAGCUCUCGCUUGGUAUUGGAUUUCGCGAUCUCGCGGCUCCUAAAAUCAGUGGCGGUGCCUGUCGGCUCUACGCGUAGUAAUACUCCUCGCGAUUGAGUCCGGUAGGUUUACUUGCCAGCAACCCCCAAUUUUUACAGGUUGACCUCGGAUCAGGUAGGGAUACCCGCUGAACUUAAGCAUAUCAAUAAGCGGAGGA